Long non-coding RNA from Pezoporus flaviventris, 410 nucleotides. RefSeq lists it as uncharacterized. The record is from RefSeq and is a predicted model, not a curated record. NCBI's taxonomy places the organism in Eukaryota, Metazoa, Chordata, Aves, Psittaciformes, Psittacidae. The transcript has 2 exons.
GGCAUAUUAGACCCGAUUCUUCUGAAUUGCAGGGGGCAUGGAUUUCGGCUUCAGAAAAUGGUGCGAAGAGGGGGGAGGCAAUCUCUGACCCACAACCACGACAGGCAAGGCCCUCAAAAGAAGUCAGUUCUGUUCUGACCCUGCGAUAUCUGCCUCUUGGAAACAGAGGCUAAAAGACCUACAGGAACCCCGGUCCUCUGCCUGCAGCUGGGAUCGGAAUCUUCUCCGCAACGGGGAACAAAUCACCGGGUCCCCUUCAAUAAAGGAUUUCUACUCAAUCCGGCCUCGUCUAAAAAUAAUAAAAAAAAAUAUUAAAAAUAGAGCGUCCACGCAAGAAGUCAUUGGGUUAAGCAGGCUGGACCAUUUUUGGACAUUUUGUCUCUUGAAAAAAAAAAAAAAGGAAAGGAAAA